Molecule: non-coding RNA, 71 nt
Organism: Podarcis lilfordi (Lilford's wall lizard)
Lineage: Eukaryota; Metazoa; Chordata; Lepidosauria; Squamata; Lacertidae
Source: the annotation of a GenBank genome assembly
GGGAUAGCUCAGUCAGUAGAGCAAGAGACUCUUAAUCUCAGGGUUGUGGGUUCACGUCCCACAUUGGGCCA